AUAAUCAGUCAUAUCACCCUGCAGCCCAAGACUGGUUGCCCACUGAAGCUAAGCAAGGCUGAGCCUGGUCAGUACCUGGAUGGGGGACCUCCUGGGAAAACUAGGUUGCUGCUGGAA
This 117-nucleotide ribosomal RNA is filed under the name Sinocyclocheilus anshuiensis. The record is from RNAcentral. Lineage: Eukaryota; Metazoa; Chordata; Actinopteri; Cypriniformes; Cyprinidae.